Molecule: ribosomal RNA, 575 nt
Filed under: Escherichia coli
Lineage: Bacteria; Pseudomonadati; Pseudomonadota; Gammaproteobacteria; Enterobacterales; Enterobacteriaceae
Description: bacterial SSU rRNA
Rfam family: Bacterial small subunit ribosomal RNA
Source: RNAcentral
ACCUUACCUGGUCUUGACAUCCACGGAAGUUUUCAGAGAUGAGAAUGUGCCUUCGGGAACCGUGAGACAGGUGCUGCAUGGCUGUCGUCAGCUCGUGUUGUGAAAUGUUGGGUUAAGUCCCGCAACGAGCGCAACCCUUAUCCUUUGUUGCCAGCGGUCCGGCCGGGAACUCAAAGGAGACUGCCAGUGAUAAACUGGAGGAAGGUGGGGAUGACGUCAAGUCAUCAUGGCCCUUACGACCAGGGCUACACACGUGCUACAAUGGCGCAUACAAAGAGAAGCGACCUCGCGAGAGCAAGCGAACCUCAUAAAGUGCGUCGUAGUCCGGAUUGGAGUCUGCAACUCGACUCCAUGAAGUCGGAAUCGCUAGUAAUCGUGGAUCAGAAUGCCACGGUGAAUACGUUCCCGGGCCUUGUACACACCGCCCGUCACACCAUGGGAGUGGGUUGCAAAAGAAGUAGGUAGCUUAACCUUCGGGAGGGCGCUUACCACUUUGUGAUUCAUGACUGGGGUGAAGUCGUAACAAGGUAACCGUAGGGGAACCUGCGGUUGGAUCACCUCCUUACCUUAAAGAA